UAUCCUCUCUCACUCUCUCUCUCUCUCUCUCGCAUGUCGCGUACAGGAUGCCGCUUAAAACCCUAAAACUCUCACCCGUCCGCCGCCUGCGCUUGUAAUGGCGACGGCGAUCGACGUGAAGGCUUUUCGUCUUUUCCCGUGCGUCGUUACUCAUUCCAGGUGUCCUGUCUUUGUAGCUUCGCCUCCUUGUCUCUACUCCUCCUCACCCGCCUCUUCUUCCUCUCCUCGUCGCCCGCCUUCGCCUUCGCCUUCGCCUUCGCCUUCGCCUUUCAUGUUGGCGUAUCUGAUGGAUCGCGUCGGUUACAUCGAGGAGAAGGCUACCGCCAUCGCCAACCGGCUCGCUGGAGUCACCUCCCCCGAGAGACCCGACGCUGUUCUCCGCUUCCUCCGCUCUACCGCCGGCCUCCCCCCAUUCAAAUCCGGCGUUUCGUCCGAUGCCGCCCUUGCUACCUUCUCGCCGACGACCGCUCCAGCCUCCUCCGACCGUACGACGGCCUCAGCAAGGCGCUCGCUAGACUCGUCACGGCCUGCGCCCCUUGUUUCGGAUACAGCACGAACCGCCUUUCUCUCACCAUCGACUUUUUCCGCUCCCUCUUCAGGCACAAGAACAGCAUGGUCGUCUCCUUUUUCCGUCGCUGCCCCCGCCUCCUCGCCACCGACGCUGACCAGGUGCUCCGCCGCAACCUGGACAUCCUCCGUGGGCACCCUGAUGUCGACGUGCCCACCAUUGUUUACAAGGCCCCCUUCCUCUUCCUCAAGCCCGACUGACUAGAGUCCGUCUUCCUCGUCGCCGAGAAGGAACUGGGCAUUGACCCUUCCUCGAAAGAAUAUGUCGAUGCACUCCACCUGUGCGCCUCAUUGCCCAAAGAGAGCCUCGUGAGAAGGCUGUGAAUCAUCAGGAGCUACGGCUUCAACAACGAAGAGCUGUUCACCAUGCUCCGGAGGUCUCCUCUCUUCCUGCGACUCACCGAUGAGCACAUGCGGAAGAAGCUGGAUUUCCUCGUUGGAACUGUGGGCUUAACCAAGGCCCUGCUCUCAAACACUUCGCUGCUGCUUUUCAGCCUGGACUCAAGGCUGGUGCCAAGGUAUCAGCUGCUGCAGAGCCUGCAAUCAAGAGCGUUGAUGCCCCAAAAUUUUGACUUAUUAAAGGCAUUUGCCAUUAGUCAACAGAGAUUCAAUAAGGUGUAUGUAGAAAAGUUAUGGAAUGGAGAAGGUUCAGAUCUUGUCCAGUCUUAUAUGAAGAAUCUUGGUGAACCGCUCCUGGCCCUUCAACAUUGAGUCCCGAUGCAAUGCUAUAUAUCAUUUUAGGAGUCACUUCUGCUUGUUUUGUGUGUUCUCAUAGAAAUUUUUUGCUGAUAUUUGGUAGCAAGAACGAACUACAAUCCAAUGACAUUUUCCCUGCCUUUAUUGUAGGACUUUUAGAAAUCUGUUCUGGUUCAUCCUUUGACUAUAGUUUUCAGUUAAAUGGUUUCUUGUUAUAUUUCCAGAGAUGUCUAUUGCCACUGAAACAUAAUCAUGAUGGGUGCCUGAAAGGUAUAGGUUGUUGCUUAGAUCUUUGCUUUUCAGUAAUUUCUCUUAUUAGCUCCUUGGUGCACAGUAUGCUUAACCAGAGUAGAAUGUACACAUUGACCAUGACAUUGUGAAUGAUUAACCCUUUUAGAGAAUGUGUUUUCAUGAAUCUUUGUUUGUAAGUUCUUUUCUGAAGUGCCAGCCAUUAAGGAUUUGAAAUAUUACUGAAGUUGAAUGUUUAUGAAGGGUUAGUCUUUCUUUCUUCCUGGUGAAUCCUUAGGUUUUUUUUCUCCUGCAGAAUAACUGCUUGAGCUUUCUUGUCUUCCUUUUUGUGUCUCAGCCAGCUCCUUACCGAGUGGAAGAAUUACCAAGCGGCUGCCACCUCGCCAAGCCAUCUCAUCUCUGCCUCAGGGCAACAACAAUGUUUUGUAACAGUAGAGCGGCAGAGCUGUAGUCAUCAAGCUUCGUGCUGACUAUUUUCACUAGCCAAUUGAGCGACGAUUUGAGUUACUCUUCAAGAAUUGAGUUGAAUGUGCAAUUAAUUAACCGGUUGCAGAUGAUAAUUUUCACAAUAUGCAAAUGGAUAUAUUCUUCUUCUUGCUGUGAAAAUUCGUCAAGCCUUGUGCUGACUUUUUUCACUAGCCAAUUGAGUGACCAUCGAAUUGAGUUAACUAACCAGUUGUAGAUGAUAAAUUUCACAACAUGCUAAUGGAUUGUUGAAUUGUGAUUAUAUUUCCAUUCAUGCUAUGAAGGUGAACAUAUGUUUGCAAUUUGGCCAUACUAACCCUUUCUCCUAAUGUAGUAGCUCUUUUUAUCUCAUCAUAUUUCAUGAUGACUUUGGAGUUCCCAUUAUAACAUAUAUGUACAUGUAUAUAUAUUAUAAAAAGGUCCCAGCAUUCUUGAGUCAGAAAUUUUGAUGUGCUAUGCUUUUUAACUGCAGUAAAUAUAUAGAGUUUCUUGGAAUAUGAGGCAUGGACAUGGUCACAAGAUUCAGACAUAACAAGGUAUGGACAAGCUGACAUGAUAAGUAUUUUAGAAGUACGACACAACAUGACAAUUAUUUCAUGUAUAUUUCAAAUAGUAUUAUAAUUUUACACUUAAUGCAAUGUACAUUAUUUAUGUUCAUCAAUAUGCAAUUGUGAGAAACACAGCAGUCAUUCAGAAAAUUAGAGAACAUGAUGUCUAUGUACUUCUGCUCCUGUAUAAGACAUUAAGGGAUAAGGCAAAGGAAAUUGUUUGUGCACUGCCAAUGUUCAACUUAUCUUGAAGCCUCAGGUGUCCAACAUAUACACAGCACGAUAGCAUAAAUAAAUCUGAAUAGCACCAGGGUCCUCCUAAUAUGAAUUUGAAGUUAUCAACAUAUCACUUGUUUAGAAUAUGAAUGAUUGGAAGGGCAUGUGCUUAUAUCCACAUUGUUCCAGAUGCAAAUAUAAGUUGUCGAUCAUGUUAAAUUAUUUUUCUAUUGACAUAAGCCAUACAUCAGCUUUAUUCUUGUGAACUUUGUUUAGGUCAAAGCUCUAUAUUAUCAUUUAGGAGAAAGUUGAGUUGUUGGGGAAGGGAAAUUUGCAGUGUUCCACUGUUCUUUCACUUGUAUGUUAACAUAGUUGGUGAACAUUUCCAAGAUCUUCUUUAACUCAUUUUUCUUUCCUCCUUUCUGCUGAAACUGUCUCCCAACAUAUAUCUGUACUGUUAGAUAAAUUUGAUGUUCCAUUCCAUUAUUAGAAUUUUUUUUUCCCCUUAUAUGUGUUGAUGACACAUUAGAAAUUGAUUAGCAAGUUCUCCGAUAAAUUUUGAGUAUGCCAGAAAGAAGAUCCAGUAUGACCCUCCUGCCGAUUGCUUUCGAGCUGCUUUGACUGCUUUGGAGAAAAGGUAACUUCUUCCCCUUCAUUAACCUUCAUCUUCCACUUUGGGUCAAUCUUUGCCCAUUUUACUGUCAUUUACUCACUGCUGACCUGUUUUGGGAGCGUGAGACGCACAAUUCAGCAACUCUGUGGUGGUGCUGAAGCCACUUGUGAUGGUUAUUGUACAAAAGCAAGCCCAGCUUCGACCAUCUUUCCAGCUUCUUGUUGCAAGAAGUCAUGAGAAGAGGGGCAAGUAACAGCAGCAGCAGAGCCUUUAUGGCGGCGAUGGCGAUGCACAACAAUCCCUGUGGAGCUGACCACAUGGCAGUACUCCUCGAGUGCCUUCAUAUCUUAGCUUGCUUGGUCGGUUGGUUUGGUUCGACAGUCAAAAACUUGUGCUCAUCAAAGCACAAGCAGCAGCAGAGGUAGAAGAAGAAGAAGAAGACAGAGAAGAAAAUAUUACCGACUACUUGUUCUGGACCACACCUAUACGAUCAUGUUGUACAUGAUUUAUGGCAUGAGAACUGUCAUUGAUGUGCUCAUGACACAGCAUUGUGGUAACAUCCAUUUACCUUUUCCAUGAGAAGUAUCGAUGAUGCACACCACCGUGGAGAAUCCGCCUUGCACUGAGGUGGAGUAAGGAAAGGGGAAGGAAGAAGAGGUUGAUCCACUGCAGCAAGUAAUAGUUUGUCCUCUGCAUGAAACAUGCCUUUUGAGCCACGCAAGCUCAUUGGAUGAUGCAACCUUAGAUACUUCCCUUUCCUGCACCAAACUCCGUGCGUGCUCUCUCUCUCUCUCGGCUCUCUUCGUGGUAAAGCGGGAGUUAUGAGCAUGUGGGUUGUGUCUGUUCAUGCCAUCGCCACACUGCAACACCUUUCUCUGCGUUCGGAGGAGGAUUUAAGCCUCAGAAUGGUGCCUCCCAGAGUUAUAUUUCCCUUUAACUGUUAGAUUUUUGAUGUAUAUACUUAGAUUUAGUCUCA
Long non-coding RNA from Musa acuminata AAA Group (dessert banana), 4330 nucleotides. RefSeq lists it as uncharacterized. The record is from RefSeq and is a predicted model, not a curated record. Lineage: Eukaryota; Viridiplantae; Streptophyta; Magnoliopsida; Zingiberales; Musaceae. The transcript has 3 exons.